UACGUAGGGUGCGAGCGUUAAUCGGAAUUACUGGGCGUAAAGCGUGCGCAGGCGGUUCGUUAAGUCAGAUGUGAAAGCCCCGGGCUCAACCUGGGAACUGCAUUUGAAACUGGCGGGCUUGAGUGUGGCAGAGGGGGGUGGAAUUCCGCGUGUAGCAGUGAAAUGCGUAGAGAUGUGGCGGAACACCGAUGGCGAAGGCAGCCCCCUGGGCCGAGAUUGACGCUCAGGCACGAAAGCGUGGGGAGCAAACAGG
Molecule: ribosomal RNA, 253 nt
Filed under: uncultured bacterium
Lineage: Bacteria
Description: partial 16S ribosomal RNA
Rfam family: Bacterial small subunit ribosomal RNA
Source: RNAcentral